CUACCUGUACAAGUGAAGCUCUGUGUGCAUGAAGAUCCUCAGUGCUGUGAGUAACGUAACCUGUGAAGUAAACCUGUUCUGUGCUUAUAGCAAUUACCUACCCGUACAAGUGAAGCUCUGUGUGCAUGAAGAUCCCCAGUGCUCCAAUACCUACCUGUACAAGUGAAGUUCUGUGUGAACGAAGAGCCUUCAGCACCGUGAGUAGCGUAACCUGUGGAGUGAACUUGACCUGUGUAUAACACUCACUUACCCGUUCUGCCGAAGGUCCUGAGUGAACGAACAGCGUUUGGUAACGAAGUACUUACCCCUGUCUGACUUUUGUUUGAUUCUGCCUCCAGGAGAAGCGGAGCGCGCCACGGAUUGUUGGGUCAGAGCCCCAAAGGAGCCCCUGCCCCCAGUUCUCAUUCCAAGUGGCCCUGGAGGCAAAGAGGAGACUCAUUAGUUUUAAAUUGCCCUUUCCCCCUUUCCUUUUUAAAUAUUUAAUAAAGUUUAUUUUAAUUAUA
Non-coding RNA from Misgurnus anguillicaudatus (oriental weatherfish), 503 nucleotides. The record is from RefSeq and is a predicted model, not a curated record. NCBI's taxonomy places the organism in Eukaryota, Metazoa, Chordata, Actinopteri, Cypriniformes, Cobitidae.